RNAcentral lists this ribosomal RNA (1359 nucleotides) under uncultured bacterium. RNAcentral describes it as "bacterial SSU rRNA". It matches the Rfam family "Bacterial small subunit ribosomal RNA", at positions 28 to 1381 of the family's 1533-position model. The record is from RNAcentral.
AUUGAACGCUGGCGGCAUGCCUUACACAUGCAAGUCGAACGGCAGCAUGAUCUAGCUUGCUAGAUUGAUGGCGAGUGGCGAACGGGUGAGUAAUACAUCGGAACGUGCCCUGUAGUGGGGGAUAACUAGUCGAAAGAUUAGCUAAUACCGCAUACGACCUGAGGGUGAAAGUGGGGGACCGCAAGGCCUCAUGCUAUAGGAGCGGCCGAUGUCUGAUUAGCUAGUUGGUGAGGUAAAGGCUCACCAAGGCGACGAUCAGUAGCUGGUCUGAGAGGACGAUCAGCCACACUGGGACUGAGACACGGCCCAGACUCCUACGGGAGGCAGCAGUGGGGAAUUUUGGACAAUGGGGGCAACCCUGAUCCAGCAAUGCCGCGUGUGUGAAGAAGGCCUUCGGGUUGUAAAGCACUUUUGUCCGGAAAGAAAUCGCACUUACUAAUAUUAGGUGUGGAUGACGGUACCGGAAGAAUAAGGACCGGCUAACUACGUGCCAGCAGCCGCGGUAAUACGUAGGGUCCAAGCGUUAAUCGGAAUUACUGGGCGUAAAGCGUGCGCAGGCGGUUGUGCAAGACCGAUGUGAAAUCCCCGGGCUUAACCUGGGAAUUGCAUUGGUGACUGCACGGCUAGAGUGUGUCAGAGGGGGGUAGAAUUCCACGUGUAGCAGUGAAAUGCGUAGAGAUGUGGAGGAAUACCGAUGGCGAAGGCAGCCCCCUGGGAUAACACUGACGCUCAUGCACGAAAGCGUGGGGAGCAAACAGGAUUAGAUACCCUGGUAGUCCACGCCCUAAACGAUGUCAACUAGUUGUUGGGGAUUCAUUUCCUUAGUAACGUAGCUAACGCGUGAAGUUGACCGCCUGGGGAGUACGGUCGCAAGAUUAAAACUCAAUGGAAUUGACGGGGACCCGCACAAGCGGUGGAUGAUGUGGAUUAAUUCGAUGCAACGCGAAAAACCUUACCUACCCUUGACAUGCCACUAACGAAGCAGAGAUGCAUUAGGUGCUCGAAAGAGAAAGUGGACACAGGUGCUGCAUGGCUGUCGUCAGCUCGUGACGUGAGAUGUUGGGUUAAGUCCCGCAACGAGCGCAACCCUUGUCUCUAGUUGCUACGAAAGGGCACUCUAGAGAGACUGCCGGUGACAAACCGGAGGAAGGUGGGGAUGACGUCAAGUCCUCAUGGCCCUUAUGGGUAGGGCUUCACACGUCAUACAAUGGUGCAUACAGAGGGUUGCCAAGCCGCGAGGUGGAGCUACUCCCAGAAAAUGCAUCGUAGUCCGGAUCGUAGUCUGCAACUCGACUACGUGAAGCUGGAAUCGCUAGUAAUCGCGGAUCAGCAUGCCGCGGUGAAUACGUUCCCGGGUCU